CGUGUAGGCGGCUCAUCAAGUCUGGUGUGAAAUCGCAGGCUCAACCUUGCAUAUGCGCUGGAAACUGGUGGGCUUGAGUUCUUGAGGGGAAGCUGGAAUUCCAGGUGUAGGGGUGAAAUCUGUAGAUAUCUGGAAGAACACCGGUGGCGAAGGCGAGCUUCUAUCAGAGGACUGACGCUGAGGCGCGAAAGCGUGGGGAGCAAACAGGAUUAGAUACCCUGGUAGUCCACGCUGUAAACGAUGUGCACUAGGCGUGGGCACGUACGUGCUCUGUGCCGUAGUUAACGUGAUAAGUGCACCGCCGUGGGGAGUAUGCUCGCAAGGGUGAA
This 329-nucleotide ribosomal RNA is filed under the name uncultured bacterium. RNAcentral's name for it is "bacterial SSU rRNA". It matches the Rfam family "Bacterial small subunit ribosomal RNA", at positions 568 to 898 of the family's 1533-position model. The record is from RNAcentral.